UCUGCACAUCUGUUUCAAAUUGCCCAGCUUGCUGGAGGGGAUCUUGGCAAUCCCAGGAUCCCACAAGUUGCUGAGGGCCGGGGGAAGCCCUCAGAAUUCCCUCUCUACCAUCUGAGCCACAUUGGGCGAUUUAGCCUCUUUGAGCCUCGGUUUGCUCAAAUGCAAAAUCAUGAUGGAGUCUAUAUGAAAGGAUCACCAUGAGGACUAAAGAAGAGAAAUAGCCCCAGAUCCCAUCGUUCCCAAGAAGGCGCAGCUGGAAAUGCUGCAUGGCUGGAGUGAGGUCGGAGGAGUUCAGUUAGAUUAGUAAGUGGAACAAGCACAUUUUUUGAGAGAUAGCAAAGAUCACUGUUAAAGCAGAUGACCCAAGAGGAUUCCAAGGAAAAGGCUCAGAGACAGUAGCUGCAGUCAACACCAGGUCCUCAUCACCCUCUCAUUGGCUCCCACUGCAGGAAGACCCUCUGCGUUACUUUGCGAGCUCCAUCCGCAGCAGAACGACUCUCCCCUGGUGGAUGCAAAGGAUCGUGAGCACCAAGGAUGAAAACACGAGGCACCUAACGGAAAGCUGAAAUCAUUUCUUUUGCUUGUAACAGUGAAGUCUGUCUGACUUGGUGAACGUAGGCUCACGGUAAUACCUUGAUGACAUCCUGAAUACCAGGAGCGUAGCUGUCUGAAAGGCAGAGAG
This is a long non-coding RNA of Fukomys damarensis (Damara mole-rat), 682 nucleotides long. RefSeq lists it as uncharacterized. The transcript is spliced from 4 exons. NCBI's taxonomy places the organism in Eukaryota, Metazoa, Chordata, Mammalia, Rodentia, Bathyergidae. The record is from RefSeq and is a predicted model, not a curated record.